GCUUGCUCCCUGAUGUUAGCGGCGGACGGGUGAGUAACACGUGGGUAACCUGCCUGUAAGACUGGGAUAACUCCGGGAAACCGGGGCUAAUACCGGAUGGUUGUUUGAACCGCAUGGUUCAAACAUAAAAGGUGGCUUCGGCUACCACUUACAGAUGGACCCGCGGCGCAUUAGCUAGUUGGUGAGGUAAUGGCUCACCAAGGCAACGAUGCGUAGCCGACCUGAGAGGGUGAUCGGCCACACUGGGACUGAGACACGGCCCAGACUCCUACGGGAGGCAGCAGUAGGGAAUCUUCCGCAAUGGACGAAAGUCUGACGGAGCAACGCCGCGUGAGUGAUGAAGGUUUUCGGAUCGUAAAGCUCUGUUGUUAGGGAAGAACAAGUACCGUUCGAAUAGGGCGGUACCUUGACGGUACCUAACCAGAAAGCCACGGCUAACUACGUGCCAGCAGCCGCGGUAAUACGUAGGUGGCAAGCGUUGUCCGGAAUUAUUGGGCGUAAAGGGCUCGCAGGCGGUUUCUUAAGUCUGAUGUGAAAGCCCCCGGCUCAACCGGGGAGGGUCAUUGGAAACUGGGGAACUUGAGUGCAGAAGAGGAGAGUGGAAUUCCACGUGUAGCGGUGAAAUGCGUAGAGAUGUGGAGGAACACCAGUGGCGAAGGCGACUCUCUGGUCUGUAACUGACGCUGAGGAGCGAAAGCGUGGGGAGCGAACAGGAUUAGAUACCCUGGUAGUCCACGCCGUAAACGAUGAGUGCUAAGUGUUAGGGGGUUUCCGCCCCUUAGUGCUGCAGCUAACGCAUUAAGCACUCCGCCUGGGGAGUACGGUCGCAAGACUGAAACUCAAAGGAAUUG
This 851-nucleotide ribosomal RNA is filed under the name Bacillus tequilensis. RNAcentral describes it as "bacterial SSU rRNA". It matches the Rfam family "Bacterial small subunit ribosomal RNA", at positions 78 to 912 of the family's 1533-position model. Lineage: Bacteria; Bacillati; Bacillota; Bacilli; Caryophanales; Bacillaceae. The record is from RNAcentral.